RNAcentral lists this ribosomal RNA (492 nucleotides) under uncultured bacterium. RNAcentral's name for it is "partial 16S ribosomal RNA". It matches the Rfam family "Bacterial small subunit ribosomal RNA", at positions 29 to 507 of the family's 1533-position model. The record is from RNAcentral.
AGUGAACGCUGGCGGUAGGCCUAACACAUGCAAGUCGAACGGCAGCACAGUAAGAGCUUGCUCUUACGGGUGGCGAGUGGCGGACGGGUGAGGAAUACAUCGGAAUCUACUUUUUCGUGGGGGAUAACGUAGGGAAACUUACGCUAAUACCGCAUACGACCUACGGGUGAAAGCAGGGGAUCUUCGGACCUUGCGCGAUUGAAUGAGCCGAUGUCGGAUUAGCUGGUUGGCGGGGUAAAGGCCCACCAAGGCGACGAUCCGUAGCUGGUCUGAGAGGAUGAUCGGCCACACUGGAGGUGAGACACGGUCCAGACUCCUACGGGAGGCAGCAGUGGGGAAUAUUGGACAAUGGGCGGAAGCCUGAUCCAGCCAUACCGCGUGGGUGAAGAAGGCCUUCGGGUUGUAAAGCCCUUUUGUUGGGAAAGAAAAGCAGCAGGUUAAUACCCCGCUGUUCUGACGGUACCCAAAGAAUAAGCACCGGCUAACUUCGUG